GCUGUGCUCAGUUCCCCCUCCGUCCAAGCACUCCCCUCUCCGGCUGGCUCCUGCCCCAUCUCCAGGCAGGCCCCAGGCCAGGGCUCAGGCUAAACAACACGCCCUCUCCUUUCCUGCAUCUCAAAAAUGGCCCCAAGCUGUAUUUAGCUGCCUCCUGUUCCCUCCUGGGGUCUCCUGGGGCCUCCCUACAAAAGGGUGCUGGGCGGUGCAUUCGUCCCUCUACUCUCACCCGUCACCCCAGCCUCCAGGGAGGGCUCAGGGGUCACCUCUGUCCUCCAGGCCGUGGAGGGGGUUAGGCGGCAGCCUGAGUAUCAGCGUAAGUAACAUGCAGAAUGCCGCAGGCUGAUUUCCCGUUCCUGGGCAGACAUGCUGGCCUUGCUGUGUCCCACGUAAAUGCACACAUAUUGGUGUAUCUUUGCACUGUUUUGAUUAAGCUGUAUCCGUGUGAGCAACACAUCUAUCAACACCCACGUGCUCAUCCCAGCGUGGAAGUUCCCCGAGGUGGGGCCAGUGGGCACCUUGGAGCCGCAGCUGGAGGGCCAAGUGGUCUACCCUCUGGUCAGGAGACAGUGAAAUGGGAGGGGAGCUGUGACCUGCCCAGGGACGCCCCAAUACGCCAGGGACAGAAGCUGACGCUAGAGCCCCUGCUUUAGCUGCAGCCCCAGAACCAGCUCUCUCCUUCCAGAGGAUGGAGGAGACGUCUGACGGUGAUGGCGGCAACGAGAGUCGCAGUGAGGGAGGGUCUUUCCUUCCUUCCGUGUUUGCACUCCCGGGAGUGGACACAGACUUGACCCCAGGGCCCUGACACCCGCCUGCUCGCUCGGAUACCUGAGAGCUCCCAGGAGCCAAUCCUGCAUUUGUCUUGGGGGAGAAGCAGCGAGACAGAGCCCCAGGCCUGCGGGGCCUCGCACACCCUCGCAGCCCACCUCCGGCAGCGCCCCACC
Molecule: long non-coding RNA, 944 nt
Organism: Orcinus orca (killer whale)
Lineage: Eukaryota; Metazoa; Chordata; Mammalia; Artiodactyla; Delphinidae
Exons: 2
Source: RefSeq, a predicted model, not a curated record